This 71-nucleotide transfer RNA is filed under the name Tongtianella jiaweipingae. RNAcentral's name for it is "Actinomyces sp. zg-332 tRNA-Gln". It matches the Rfam family "tRNA". Rfam says of the family: Transfer RNA (tRNA) molecules are approximately 80 nucleotides in length. Their secondary structure includes four short double-helical elements and three loops (D, anti-codon, and T loops). Further hydrogen bonds mediate the characteristic L-shaped molecular structure. tRNAs have two regions of fundamental functional importance: the anti-codon, which is responsible for specific mRNA codon recognition, and the 3' end, to which the tRNAs corresponding amino acid is attached (by aminoacyl-tRNA synthetases). tRNAs cope with the degeneracy of the genetic code in two manners: having more than one tRNA (with a specific anti-codon) for a particular amino acid; and 'wobble' base-pairing, i.e. permitting non-standard base-pairing at the 3rd anti-codon position. The record is from RNAcentral. Lineage: Bacteria; Bacillati; Actinomycetota; Actinomycetes; Actinomycetales; Actinomycetaceae.
UCCGCCUUAGUGUAAUGGCAGCACCCCGGUUUUUGGUACCGUUAGUCUAGGUUCGAGUCCUGGAGGCGGAG